ACUGGGGUGGGGUAGUGGUAACCUGCAUGCUUCCCAAGAAGUAAAUUCAUAGCAUGCGCGCCGGGUUCGAUUCCCGGUCCUAGUA
Non-coding RNA from Sphaerobolus stellatus SS14, 85 nucleotides. The record is from Rfam. Lineage: Eukaryota; Fungi; Basidiomycota; Agaricomycetes; Geastrales; Sphaerobolaceae.